This 459-nucleotide ribosomal RNA is filed under the name uncultured bacterium. RNAcentral's name for it is "partial 16S ribosomal RNA". It matches the Rfam family "Bacterial small subunit ribosomal RNA", at positions 338 to 795 of the family's 1533-position model. The record is from RNAcentral.
CCUACGGUGGGCAGCAGUGAGGAAUAUUGGUCAAUGGUCGGGAGACUGAACCAGCCAAGCCGCGUGAGGGAUGAAGGUACAGAGUAUCGUAAACCUCUUUUGUCAGGGAACAAAGGCGGGGACGCGUCCCCGGAUGAGUGUACCCGAAGAAAAAGCAUCGGCUAACUCCGUGCCAGCAGCCGCGGUAAUACGGAGGAUGCGAGCGUUAUCCGGAUUUAUUGGGUUUAAAGGGUGCGCAGGCGGUCUGUUAAGUCAGCGGUGAAAGCCCGGGGCUCAACCCCGGCCCGCCGUUGAAACUGGCAGUCUCGAGUGGGAGGGAGGUAUGCGGAAUGCGCGGUGUAGCGGUGAAAUGCAUAGAUAUCGCGCAGAACUCCGAUUGCGAAGGCAGCAUGCCGGGUCCACACUGACGCUGAGGCACGAAAGCGUGGGGAUCGAACAGGAUUAGAUACCCCUGUAGUC